UGAAUUAGGAUUGUUGAAAUUUUUGCAUUUAGGCGCUAUGUUUCUAAACUUAUUAUUUGAUCGAAAGUGAUGAUAUAAAUGUUAGGAAUAAUGUAGAGUGCAAAUUUUAAAGUGCAUAAAAUAAAUGACAAAGAAUUAUAUUAGUUCCCCUUACAAAUUUAAGAGUAUAUCUAGUCCCUCUAUCUUCUUAGAGGAUUUUUCACCAUGAUCAAAUGCUCUUUACAA
This 225-nucleotide long non-coding RNA is filed under the name Lathyrus oleraceus (garden pea). RNAcentral's name for it is "Pisum sativum (pea) long non-coding RNA (PSAT_LNC032986)". Lineage: Eukaryota; Viridiplantae; Streptophyta; Magnoliopsida; Fabales; Fabaceae. The record is from RNAcentral.